This 433-nucleotide ribosomal RNA is filed under the name uncultured bacterium. Its description in RNAcentral is "partial 16S ribosomal RNA". It matches the Rfam family "Bacterial small subunit ribosomal RNA", at positions 29 to 507 of the family's 1533-position model. The record is from RNAcentral.
AACGAACGCUGGCGGCAUGCCUAACACAUGCAAGUCGAACGAACCCUUCGGGGUUAGUGGCGCACGGGUGCGUAACGCGUGGGAAUCUGCCCUUUGCUUCGGUAUAACUCAGGGAAACUUGUGCUAAUACCGGAUGAUGUCUUCGGACCAAAGAUUUAUCGGCAAGGGAUGAGCCCGCGUAGGUUUAGGUAGUUGGUGGGGUAAAGGCCUACCAAGCCGACGAUCCUUAGCUGGUCUGAGAGGAUGAUCAGCCACACUGGGACUGAGACACGGCCCAGACUCCUACGCGAGGCAGCGGUGGAGAAUAUUAGACACUGGACGCAAGCCUGAUCCAGCAAUGCCGCGUGAGUGAUGAAGGCCCUCGGGUCGUAAAGCUCUUUUACCAGGGAUGAUAAUGACAGUACCUGGAGAAUAAGCUCCGGCUAACUCCGUG